CUAACUGGAGGACCGAACCGACUAAUGUUGAAAAAUUAGCGGAUGACUUGUGGCUGGGGGUGAAAGGCCAAUCAAACCGGGAGAUAGCUGGUUCUCCCCGAAAGCUAUUUAGGUAGCGCCUCGUGAACUCAUCUUCGGGGGUAGAGCACUGUUUCGGCUAGGGGGUCAUCCCGACUUACCAACCCGAUGCAAACUACGAAUACCGAAGAAUGUUAUCACGGGAGACACACGGCGGGUGCUAACGUCCGUCGUGAAGAGGGAAACAACCCAGACCGCCAGCUAAGGUCCCAAAGUCAUGGUUAAGUGGGAAACGAUGUGGGAAGGCACAGACAGCCAGGAUGUUGGCUUAGAAGCAGCCAUCAUUUAAAGAAAGCGUAAUAGCUCACUGGUCGAGUCGGCCUGCGCGGAAGAUGUAACGGGGCUAAACCAUGCACCGAAGCUGCGGCAGCGACACUAUGUGUUGUUGGGUAGGGGAGCGUUCUGUAAGCCUGCGAAGGUGUGCUGUGAGGCAUGCUGGAGGUAUCAGAAGUGCGAAUGCUGACAUAAGUAACGAUAAAGCGGGUGAAAAGCCCGCUCGCCGGAAGACCAAGGGUUCCUGUCCAACGUUAAUCGGGGCAGGGUGAGUCGACCCCUAAGGCGAGGCCGAAAGGCGUAGUCGAUGGGAAACAGGUUAAUAUUCCUGUACUUGGUGUUACUGCGAAGGGGGGACGGAGAAGGCUAUGUUAGCCGGGCGACGGUUGUCCCGGUUUAAGCAUGUAGGCUGGUUAUCCAGGCAAAUCCGGAUAAUCAAGGCUGAGGUGUGAUGACGAGGCACUACGGUGCUGAAGUAACAAAUGCCCUGCUUCCAGGAAAAGCCUCUAAGCAUCAGGUAACAUCAAAUCGUACCCCAAACCGACACAGGUGGUCAGGUAGAGAAUACCAAGGCGCUUGAGAGAACUCGGGUGAAGGAACUAGGCAAAAUGGUGCCGUAACUUCGGGAGAAGGCACGCUGGUGUGUAGGUGAAGCCCCUGCGGGUGGAGCUGAGACCAGUCGAAGAUACCAGCUGGCUGCAACUGUUUAUUAAAAACACAGCACUGUGCAAACACGAAAGUGGACGUAUACGGUGUGACGCCUGCCCGGUGCCGGAAGGUUAAUUGAUGGG
This 1142-nucleotide ribosomal RNA is filed under the name Klebsiella pneumoniae. RNAcentral describes it as "partial 23S ribosomal RNA". It matches the Rfam family "Bacterial large subunit ribosomal RNA", at positions 762 to 1888 of the family's 2925-position model. The record is from RNAcentral. Lineage: Bacteria; Pseudomonadati; Pseudomonadota; Gammaproteobacteria; Enterobacterales; Enterobacteriaceae.